RNAcentral lists this ribosomal RNA (435 nucleotides) under uncultured bacterium. RNAcentral's name for it is "partial 16S ribosomal RNA". It matches the Rfam family "Bacterial small subunit ribosomal RNA", at positions 29 to 507 of the family's 1533-position model. The record is from RNAcentral.
AACGAACGCUGGCGGCAUGCCUAACACAUGCAAGUCGAACGAUUGCCUUCGGGUGAUAGUGGCGCACGGGUGCGUAACGCGUGGGAAUUUGCCCUUAGGUUCGGAAUAACAGCUGGAAACGGCUGCUAAUACCGGAUGAUAUCGCGAGAUCAAAGAUUUAUCGCCUGAGGAUGAGCCCGCGUUGGAUUAGGUAGUUGGUGGGGUAAAGGCCUACCAAGCCGACGAUCCAUAGCUGGUCUGAGAGGAUGAUCAGCCACACUGGGACUGAGACACGGCCCAGACUCCUACGGGAGGCAGCAGUGGGGAAUAUUGGACAAUGGGCGCAAGCCUGAUCCAGCAAUGCCGCGUGAGUGAUGAAGGCCCUAGGGUUGUAAAGCUCUUUUACCCGGGAAGAUAAUGACUGUACCGGGAGAAUAAGCCCCGGCUAACUCCGUG